RNAcentral lists this ribosomal RNA (377 nucleotides) under uncultured bacterium. RNAcentral describes it as "bacterial SSU rRNA". It matches the Rfam family "Bacterial small subunit ribosomal RNA", at positions 521 to 896 of the family's 1533-position model. The record is from RNAcentral.
UAAUACGAAGGGUGCAAGCGUUAAUCGGAAUUACUGGGCGUAAAGCGUGCGUAGGCGGUUUGUUAAGUCUGAUGUGAAAGCCCCGGGCUCAACCUGGGAAUUGCAUUGGAAACUGGCGAGCUAGAGUGCGGUAGAGGGUGGCGGAAUUCCCGGUGUAGCGGUGAAAUGCGUAGAGAUCGGGAGGAACAUCCGUGGCGAAGGCGGCCACCUGGACCAGCACUGACGCUGAGGCACGAAAGCGUGGGGAGCAAACAGGAUUAGAUACCCUGGUAGUCCACGCCCUAAACGAUGCGAACUGGACGUUGGGCUCAACUUGGAGCUCAGUGUCGAAGCUAACGCGUUAAGUUCGCCGCCUGGGGAGUACGGUCGCAAGACUG